UCCGCCUGCAGUGGCACGGAAGAAGAGUUUGAAAGCAGCACGGGCGGCUACUCUGCGGCUGGUAUUGAAGGUAGAGCUUGGCAAGAGAGAAUGGGAGAGCUCUACUGCCUCGAGCAUCGCAUCCAGCCCCAAUGGCAUCACACCCACUUGCCCGGGUAAGCUUCUUCUCUGUUCCAAUUCUUGCACUUGUUGGUUUUUUACUUUCAGAGCUCUGGGAAAUAUCAGAUGGUGUGUGUCUUCUUUGAUGGUACAAGUAUUUUAAACUGGCACCGUAUGAUAAUAUAUGAUUGCUAUAAUGAACAAAGGUUGUAUUUUUUAAUUGAUUGGUACGCAAUUGUUGUCUUAGCUGAUCACUUGCUCAUUUCCAUUCUUGAAAAUGCAAGAUUAUUAAUUUCCUUAUAAGGAUAUAUAAAGAUAGAGGCAAUCUUUUUAAAACUUUUCUGAAAUCUGAUAUAAAUGAAAAUGUCUGAUAUUCAAAUUAGUUAGAUUAGUUUCUGUACUCCUAGUAGUGCACCUAAAUUUGAGUACCAAUGUUUCAGGGUACUAUUUUGUUUUUUGAGAACCAAGUAAAAGACACAGUUCCAGUGUGAUCAGCUAAGAGUUUAUGUACACAACAUCGAUUCUAUUUUUCUCAAACCAUUUAUUUUAGCUUGGAUAAGUGGUGUUUUGUUGUUCUACGGACUGAAUUUGUUGACGAACAUGGCUCGUGUGUAUUAAUUCAUCAAUGUCUCUGGCUAUCCUGCAGUACAAGGCAGACCAUAGAUUCCUCCCGAUGAAGAUUGAUGUGGCGCGAUGGAGAGCUUGGUGUGUGCGGCCUGCUGAUGGCGCUCGGGCCGAUGGUGGCUUAACAACGCAUGUUCUCUUAUCGUCCUCAUGCUCUCUGCCCUUAAUUUUAUCUCUCCGAUUCUUCUUUGGUUACAUGCACAUGUGAUUGAGGCAGGACAACAGGAGCAGCAAGAAGCAUCGACAACUAUGAGCUAGCUGCUAGCAGUGCCCCCCCCCUCAUGUACAUGGAUUUGUAAUGGCCAAGGAACACUUUUGAUUCUUUCUUUAGUGUUUUCACUAUCAAUCCAUAUUUGGUGAACUUGUUCUACUGUUCACGAGCCUCCGCCUAGAACCUGUCUGAUGUCAUGCGUACGACGGACUGAGACACGUUCUAAUUUUCUGGUGAAACUCUUACCUCUAUUUAGAAAAUCCAAAUGAUGAAACAAGUGUAUUCAAGGUUGGAUCUGCACCUUAAACAUGUGUACCUGAUGUUCCAAGCU
This 1265-nucleotide long non-coding RNA is filed under the name Triticum aestivum (bread wheat). RNAcentral's name for it is "long non-coding RNA (TAES_LNC004530)". The record is from RNAcentral. Lineage: Eukaryota; Viridiplantae; Streptophyta; Magnoliopsida; Poales; Poaceae.